This 426-nucleotide ribosomal RNA is filed under the name uncultured bacterium. RNAcentral describes it as "bacterial SSU rRNA". It matches the Rfam family "Bacterial small subunit ribosomal RNA", at positions 355 to 794 of the family's 1533-position model. The record is from RNAcentral.
UGGGGAAUAUUGGGCAAUGGGGCGCAAGCCUGACCCAGCAACGCCGCGUGAGGGAAGAAGGUUUUCGGAUUGUAAACCUCUGUCCUAAAUGAAAAGAAGCAGAUGGUAAUUUAGGAGGAAGCCCCGGCUAACUACGUGCCAGCAGCCGCGGUAAUACGUAGGGGGCGAGCGUUGUCCGGAAUGAUUGGGCGUAAAGGGCGCGUAGGCGGCCUGUUAAGUCUGGAGUGAAAGUCCUGCUUUUAAGGUGGGAACUGCUUUGGAGACUGACGAGCUUGAGUGCAGGAGAGGUUAUCGGAAUUCCCGGUGUAGCGGUGAAAUGCGUAGAGAUCGGGAGGAACACCAGUGGCGAAGGCGGGGUAACUAGACUGCAACUGACGCUGAGGCGCGAAAGUGUGGGGAGCAAACAGGAUUAGAUACCCUGGUAGU